CUUGGUAAAUAGCACCUAUUGUGGUUAAGGCUGUCAUCACUCUCCCUCAAUUCCAGGCACAAAUGAGUUGAGGACCCUGGAGACCAGUCGUGCUGCCCCUGUAGCGUGUGGCACCUGGCUUCUACAGCUUGGACAACUCCUCCAGUAUCCAGCUCCUGCAAUGCAAGCGACUUCUUCAACAUCAGGGUCCUGCUGAUGCAAGCCAGGAUAGAUGGCUUCUUUAGCAUCCAUCUCCCCCAGUGCAUGGUGGCCAGAAUCAUCCGAAGGCCAGCAGCCUCCCCUGGCACUCCCACUACAGCACAAAUCGUGGGCUGGUUAUCCUCCAUUUGCCACUGCAGAUCCGCCUUCCUCCAUUCUCCACCCUGCUCCACGCACCGGGAGGCUGACCUCUGCAGAGUCCUUGUUGCUCCACCUUCCAGCUCAGCUCCGGUAACGGGACACUGGAAGGAGAGGAGAGAGCAGGAGGAGAGAGAUGUGAGCACAAUUAUUCCCCCGCUCCCUCUCAGCCAGACCUCAGGUGGGCAGUGGCCGCCUCCUCCACCUACAGUCCUGUCAGACAGUCUCUCUCCCACAGCCACAGCUUUGUUUGUUGCUCCUUCAGGACGAGGGAAGUUACUGCCCUCCCACAUCGCUACUCCCUGAGUGCUCCGCCAUUGCUCAUCUGUUACCUCAUCCCGGCCAGCACCUUUGUAAAUAAUCCUUCAUUAAACCCUUCAGUCACCAUGUUCGGCAAACCGUCUGUUUUCCGCGGAGCCCUGGCCAGUACAGCAGCCAUGGGAAGGAGGGGAGCAGGGGUCAGCGUUUGUUACAGAGGGGAUACAAGGAGAAAGACGGGGGCUUCUGACACGCAAAAUGGGAUCGUGGAGAAGGAUAAACGCCUUAAAGGCAGCCUCCUUAAAUUGCCUCUUCAGGUUAUUCUUCAGUUAGACUCGUUGCUCAUUUUCCCAUUAAGCAGGUGGGAAGUUGUGCAAGAGACUAGCUCAGCUAAAAACAAAGAUUAUAGGAACCACUGGUUUUCUGCACAUUCCUGGUUGAAGUGCAAUAUCAACCUGUAAGCACUAUGGGAACGUGGCUAACUAAAUGACAGAAUGACGGGAUGGAAUAUUAAUGAUGAUUACAGCAAACCUUAAUAAGCAACAGCUUAUAACAUGCUGCCAAGUGAAAAAGGAAGGCAGGAAACUUACGGUCAUCACGAUCUCAGUUAUGUUAAAAGCAUACACACACGAGCAGAGAAAAAGAGAACUUGUAAGGAAGUCACCAAAAUGUACAAAGAGGUUGCGUUUAGGUGGUGGAAUUAGGGGUGGUACUUAUUUUUUUCCUUUAUAUUUUUUUAAUACUCCAAUUUUUCUACAAUGAGCAUGAAUUGCUUUUGUAUCCAGAAUUUUAUCUGCUUUUUCUAAGAGAACAUGUGCGGCAUGAUCUGCUCACAUUAUCAGGAACGACCCAGACUGAGCGGCAAGUCCCAGCCAGGGCUUCCGUUUCCUGGGCGCCUGGGCCUGGUUAGUGCGGGAACCUUGGCAAACAACUGUCGGGUUAACUCUUUCUUCAGAAGAGAGGAGGAGGUGGUGCCACAGGGACCUUCUGCUGAGGGCUGCCGGUGGGAGUGCGGUCGCUAUCGUGAGUCCUGUCACCCUGGGUACCUACUGCGGAGAUCUGGGGAGUUCUUGUCUUCCAGGCAGGGUGAGUUGGGGCCAACUGUAGGGGGCUUCUGGAAAAUAAGUUGAGUCAGAAGUAGCCGUGUCCUUGGGGACAGGUGUGGGACUCUACCACCAGUGACACGCGCAGGGUAUGAAUGGUAUCCUUGGAGAGUGGAAAGCACCAUCAGGCCGGCUUAAUCAGGACCGGAGGGAACAUGUAAGCUGAUGUCCUUGUUCCUGCCGAGUGUGCGUCGUGCCUCGUGCCUUGUGCUUCGGAAGCCUAGCCGGCCACAGCAGACAUCUAGGCAAGCAGGCCCACAGGGACGGCCUCCUUACCGUCCUGGCUCCCUGAUGACAUCCCUGCAGGCUUCCCUCUUGAAUCAGCCACUGUGAAGUGAGGGCUAGGAGAGAACAGACGACACUUCUUGCCCUGACCGGUCUUCCCUUCCUGUUCUUUCCACCUUUGGCCGAGACACCACACAGAAGUGCAUUUUGGUUCUGUUUACAUUCUCGUCAGAAGGCGUGCUCAUUUCCAGGCAGCGCUUCUCACACAGUGAGGGACGUAAAGAUCAUCUGGGGCCCUUGUUAAAGCACAGGUUCCGACUCGGUCAUUCUAAGGUGGAGCCUGAGACCGGGCCUUUCUAAGAAGCCCCUGAUCCCACGGGAUGGAAGGGGCCCAGUCCUGUAUUCUA
Long non-coding RNA from Equus caballus (horse), 2329 nucleotides. The record is from Ensembl. NCBI's taxonomy places the organism in Eukaryota, Metazoa, Chordata, Mammalia, Perissodactyla, Equidae.